This 214-nucleotide long non-coding RNA is filed under the name Elaeis guineensis (African oil palm). Its description in RNAcentral is "long non-coding RNA (EGUI_LNC027488)". Lineage: Eukaryota; Viridiplantae; Streptophyta; Magnoliopsida; Arecales; Arecaceae. The record is from RNAcentral.
CAUGGAACUCAGGAUAUGAAAACCAUAUAUUUUCGAAAUGGAACAAUUUAUUUAAAGGUAGCCUUUGUCCCAUUUCGAGGAGUAGUGGGAAGUGGUCCGAUGUGGUUUCCGCUAUCGGAGUAAGAACACAUGACAGAAAGUUUGUCAACCAUUCUGUUAUUGCUAUGCAAUGGUCCAACUUUGGGAGCAAUGGGUUCUCUCUAUGAUUGGACCA